UUAGCCUGACAUACGCUACAUGUAGCCUUAUAGCCUGUGUAAUAAGGAAAUAGUUGCCUACGAUAUUUUGCUACCUAUAUAUUUCUCUGAGAGGAUAUAUCUUUUUCGUCCGUAAUCUGAUGGUCAUCUUAAUCAUAGUUUUAUUUUUAUUCUGGUGUAAUUUUACAUUACUUUUUCAUUACUUUCAGGGAGGCGUCUGAUAAAACUAACAACAUGAAGAACGUGGAAACAAGCAGCUCUAAUGAUCAGGGUGCAGCUGGCUAUAACAUUGUAAAUGAGGCCUUAACUAACAGAGAAUACGCAGAAAUCAGUGAUGACAGUGGAGCCAAGGCACAGGUUGCAGACAACGAAUACAGCAGGCUUGAUAUGUCCAACACAGAUCAGAAAGCCUACGACAUGUUACACAACGAUUCCAUUGAAGGCAAAGGUGAUGGAUGUAGCUCAACACUCAAACCGGCCCCGAGUAUUUUGUCUUGGAAGGAGCAACCAACAUCAAUGAAAAGGGUUCUGUUGAUGAGAUAUCGGCACCAUAUUUUGUUCUGGAAAGCGAAAGCAUUGGAGGUGAUGUUCCAUCUGGCAAUAAAGCUCCUGAUUAUUUUGUUCUGGAAGUUCAAAAUCCAGACUCUAGUGAACAACCUACCAUCAAAUCACCCGAGUACUUUGUUUUAGAAAAUGAAACGCGUGAAACUGUUGGAAAUGAAGGUGAUGUGGGCCCUGCACCAAACUAUUUUGUUCUGCAGAAGGAUAUGCCUCAAUAGAAACUGGAAACCAGUAAUUAAGGGCUAUAAAAUAAUUCCAUAAGACUUAUAAGGAUAGAUGUGAAUGUUGGUGAUUGGAAAUGUACGAGAUAGCAAGAUGUAUGAUAUGGAAUGUUAAACUCAAGGGAUGAGUUACUUUGCAUUAGCGCGGGUACUGCAAAAUGUGUUUAUAUGUCAAGUCAUGCCUACAAUAGCACAUUUAUAUAUUGUUCAAUGUGAAACAUGGAUAAAAUAUCAUCUGUUUCACACCUAUUAAUAUCAACAUUUCGUUCCGGAAAACGAAACCUGGGCGACGAUAUCAGAAUAACAAAAAGUUAUUUUGUUUAAACAUAAACAGUUGUAUAACAUUUAUUUUAUGCUUAUUGUAGGUAUGUUAUGCCCGCUUACGGCUAUUAAUUUGAGCAUAUUUAUUUUGACAAAUGUGUACCUUGAUAUAGAAUGACCUCUGUUUCAGGCAAUUUAACAUUCACAUUUUGUUCCACAAAACAAAACGUUCGUGUCAAUGCUCCAUUAAGGCAACCAAUCUAGUGGUUAUUUUGCCAUAGCAGCUCGAAAUACAUACUUUGUAAUAUGGCAUGGUGAGCAAUCUAAUACUACUACAGUACACCAGGGUGCUAUUUGAUAAGACUGUCCUACUAUGCAUUUUUUAAAAUUCAGUUGCUAAACAUUCGUUUUGAUUUUUGUUUCUUGUGCAGAAACGGUUGUAUGAAAAACUGUGGCAGCCAUAUUAAUCCCGGUAGGCAUCCAUUUCCCAUCUGGAUAAGAUUGCUGUGCACUAAGUACUUAACAUUUCAUAUGUCGAUAUAAUCCACGUGCUUAGCAUUAAUUAAGUAUGAAUUAUCCUGUGGUCUGUAAUAAGAAUAAAGAAAUCCUCUUACGAAACAGUAGCCUCAUUUAAUACCACUGUAAAUAAACGUUCAAUCGUGGCCAUUCAAGGGGGAUAAUUCUGUAAGAGGCUGUAUUUGUUCAAGGGGAUUUCCCAUUCUCUGCAAGGUUAUUGAUAUGGAUUUUUUAAAAUGCAUAGCACUUAUUUUACGUUACAUAUGUGUUAUAUUUAUUUAUUUAUUUGACUGGUGUCUUACGCCAUAUACCUGAAGAAUAUUUCAAUAAACCGGCGGAGAGCAUUGUAGUGAGAGGAAAUUGCGUAGCUAGAUCCCGGGAGAUCACGACACUCCGCAGAUUGUUGGUAAACCUGUCCAAGUACGACCAUGUGUGAUAUAUUUUAUCAUGUGGAAGCCAGUAUAGAAUGGCACCUGCUUCACGGCAUUUUAACGUUGACACCGAAGAUGUUGAAAACAAAAGUGAUGUUGAUCUAGCAGCAAACUAGUUUGUUCUUCGAAAGACACGAGGCAGCAGAAAUUGGAAACCGAUAAAUGUGGUGAAAAUUAACUACCACAAAAAGAUACCAUCAUAAUGCGAUAUUGCGAUCGUUGUAUAGGGUCGUCCAAAUGAGAUAAUCACGCUGCGGGCGUGUUUGGGUGUGUAUGAUUCUUGAAGACGGCUAUACAUGUAUUAAAGAGACGUCAGUAUGUGUGAUAAUGAAUAUUGACUGCAUACAAUUGACAAUGAAUAUUAUUUUGCAUUGAUAUGUGCUUGUGA
Liolophura sinensis is the source of this 2357-nucleotide long non-coding RNA. RefSeq lists it as uncharacterized. NCBI's taxonomy places the organism in Eukaryota, Metazoa, Mollusca, Polyplacophora, Chitonida, Chitonidae. The record is from RefSeq and is a predicted model, not a curated record. The transcript has 2 exons.